GGGGGCGAUCGGCUUCGACGGGGGCUACGAAAUCACUUGGUGCAUGCCGAGGGGGCAGCUUUCCUCGUUAAUCCAGCAGCAAACUUUUAGUUGCCAACGACGACAACUACGCACUGGCCGCUUAAGGCCUAAGCCGGGAACCCACUUGUGCUCAUGCUCGUGGAUGUACCGUCACUAUCAUGAGAUCGCUGGCGUUUGCCGCCUGACGGCCGUCGGCUAACUCCAAUCGGGCUGGUCCUUCGGUGCGCUUCGCCCACCGUGUUGCCGCAGGACGAGAUCGAACGGUGAGCUAUGCAUGUAGAGCCGGGGACGUAGGGCCUUCGGACGCGGGUUCGAUUCCCGCCGCCUCCACCA
Molecule: transfer-messenger RNA, 354 nt
Filed under: Tahibacter soli
Lineage: Bacteria; Pseudomonadati; Pseudomonadota; Gammaproteobacteria; Lysobacterales; Rhodanobacteraceae
Rfam family: transfer-messenger RNA
About the family: Bacterial tmRNA, also known as 10Sa RNA or SsrA, is named for its dual tRNA and mRNA-like properties. Its role is to liberate the mRNA from a stalled ribosome.
Source: Rfam by way of RNAcentral